GCAGUCCGAGUACUGGGAUUGGAAUGCUAGAGGGACUCCGCGACCGAUUUUUAAAGGGUUCAAGGGCUGCCUAACUCCCCAAUGAUUGGCUGUAAGAGAGUCCCAGUGCUGAUUGGCUAUUUUUCCUUCAUCAGUUUGAAGCUGGCGGGUGGGGGAGGUGGUUUGCUUGGACUAUACAAUGAAGCACGUUCUCUGGAGCUGAAACGUUGCAGGGUGUUAUCUGAUGAUGAGGUUCCUGCCUGAAACGUUAACUCUGUUUCUCUGACCACAGUUACUGCCUGAGCUGCAUCUUGAAUGACAGAAUUCUGGUUUUCGCUUUUGUUCUUUUUCCAGAAUAUCAUCAGUCAACUUUGGGAGCAUGGAGCACAAAUCUGAAGAGGCACAAAUCAAAGACGAGAAAGACUGCAGGACUGGGGGUAAAAGAUGAGAACACUGAGCAAGAAAUUGGGGAGUGUUGGCCAGAAGAAACUGCAGUCUGAUGGAAGACCGGGGAAGCAGACUUCGUUUCCCCCAUUUUGUGGAUUCUGAACAGUUUCUGGCUCUUGGAUAAUCUAAUCAGAGCAACUGAAUGUGGAUACUGGAGGCUUCAGCACUAUUAGCUGAGAUGUAUCCCAUGUAUUACACUCAGCCUUUGUUUAGUACGAGAUAACGGUGGCGGACAGGAUGCUGCGAGCAGGAAUGUAAUGUGAGGGAGGUUGUCUGGAAAACGUAAUCUUGGCCAGGAAUAAGGCCCCAAUGCGAACGGGUGAAACAUAAUGGUGGCUAGGCAAAAGCGAUUAAUUAAUUCAUAUAUAAAUGAUAUGCAACUAAAACUCGAUUGGGUAUGGCGAUGAAACCGAAAUGUAACUGAGAUAAGUAAUUACUAUAAAGAAUGCUGUACACCGGAGCUCGGUGGGCUUUCGGUGACAAGUUCAUUGAUUGCC
Long non-coding RNA from Hypanus sabinus (Atlantic stingray), 923 nucleotides. RefSeq lists it as uncharacterized. Lineage: Eukaryota; Metazoa; Chordata; Chondrichthyes; Myliobatiformes; Dasyatidae. The transcript has 3 exons. The record is from RefSeq and is a predicted model, not a curated record.